GUAGUCGAUGGAAAACAGGUUAAUAUUCCUGUACCUCACAUAACUGCGAUGGGGCGACGGAGUAGGCUAGGUUAGCCGGAGAUUGGUUGUUCCGGUUUAAGCGAGUAGAAAGAGUUCUUUGGAAAAUCCGGGAACUUAAUUUUGAGACGUGAUGACGAGUCACUUAAUUGUGAUGAAGUAAUCGAUGCCACACUUCCAAGAAAAACCUCUAAGCUUCAGGUUAUGAGAGACCGUACCCCAAACCGACACAGGUGGGUGGGAUGAGAAUUCUAAGGCGCUUGAGAGA
RNAcentral lists this ribosomal RNA (286 nucleotides) under Oxyrrhis marina. RNAcentral describes it as "partial Bacterial large subunit ribosomal RNA". It matches the Rfam family "Bacterial large subunit ribosomal RNA", at positions 1411 to 1697 of the family's 2925-position model. The record is from RNAcentral. Lineage: Eukaryota; Dinophyceae; Oxyrrhinales; Oxyrrhinaceae.